This 303-nucleotide ribosomal RNA is filed under the name uncultured bacterium. Its description in RNAcentral is "partial 16S ribosomal RNA". It matches the Rfam family "Bacterial small subunit ribosomal RNA", at positions 507 to 807 of the family's 1533-position model. The record is from RNAcentral.
AGCAGCCGCCACGGUAAUACAGAGGAUGCAAGCGUUAUCCGGAAUUAUUGGGCGUAAAGGGCUCGCAGGCGGUUUCUUAAGUCUGAUGUGAAAGCCCCCGGCUCAACCGGGGAGGGUCAUUGGAAACUGGGAAACUUGAGUGCAGAAGAGGAGAGUGGAAUUCCACGUGUAGCGGUGAAAUGCGUAGAGAUGUGGAGGAACACCAGUGGCGAAGGCGACUCUCUGGUCUGUAACUGACGCUGAGGAGCGAAAGCGUGGGGAGCGAACAGGAUUAGAUACCCGUGUAGUCCCUGUCUCUUAUAC